CCUGGCGGAGGCUUACCUGCAAGUCGAGCGGAGAGAGGUAGCUUGCUACCGAUCUUAGCGGCGGACGGGUGAGUAAUGCUUAGGAAUCUGCCUAUUAGUGGGGGACAACAUUUCGAAAGGAAUGCUAAUACCGCAUACGUCCUACGGGAGAAAGCAGGGGAUCUUCGGACCUUGCGCUAAUAGAUGAGCCUAAGUCGGAUUAGCUAGUUGGUGGGGUAAAGGCCUACCAAGGCGACGAUCUGUAGCGGGUCUGAGAGGAUGAUCCGCCACACUGGGACUGAGACACGGCCCAGACUCCUACGGGAGGCAGCAGUGGGGAAUAUUGGACAAUGGGCGCAAGCCUGAUCCAGCCAUGCCGCGUGUGUGAAGAAGGCCUUAUGGUUGUAAAGCACUUUAAGCGAGGAGGAGGCUACUUUAGUUAAUACCUAGAGAUAGUGGACGUUACUCGCAGAAUAAGCACCGGCUAACUCUGUGCCAGCAGCCGCGGUAAUACAGAGGGUGCAAGCGUUAAUCGGAUUUACUGGGCGUAAAGCGCGCGUAGGCGGCUAAUUAAGUCAAAUGUGAAAUCCCCGAGCUUAACUUGGGAAUUGCAUUCGAUACUGGUUAGCUAGAGUGUGGGAGAGGAUGGUAGAAUUCCAGGUGUAGCGGUGAAAUGCGUAGAGAUCUGGAGGAAUACCGAUGGCGAAGGCAGCCAUCUGGCCUAACACUGACGCUGAGGUGCGAAAGCAUGGGGAGCAAACAGGAUUAGAUACCCUGGUAGUCCAUGCCGUAAACGAUGUCUACUAGCCGUUGGGGCCUUUGAGGCUUUAGUGGCGCAGCUAACGCGAUAAGUAGACCGCCUGGGGAGUACGGUCGCAAGACUAAAACUCAAAUGAAUUGACGGGGGCCCGCACAAGCGGUGGAGCAUGUGGUUAAUUCGAUGCACGCGAAAACCUACCUGGCCUUGACUAGUAAAACUUUCCGAAAUGGAUUGGGGCUUCGGAACUUACUACGGGGCUGCUGGCUGCCCCACUCG
Molecule: ribosomal RNA, 1015 nt
Filed under: Acinetobacter pittii
Lineage: Bacteria; Pseudomonadati; Pseudomonadota; Gammaproteobacteria; Moraxellales; Moraxellaceae
Description: bacterial SSU rRNA
Rfam family: Bacterial small subunit ribosomal RNA
Source: RNAcentral